Empidonax traillii (willow flycatcher) is the source of this 442-nucleotide long non-coding RNA. RefSeq lists it as uncharacterized. The transcript has 3 exons. Lineage: Eukaryota; Metazoa; Chordata; Aves; Passeriformes; Tyrannidae. The record is from RefSeq and is a predicted model, not a curated record.
UACAAGAACAGUCUGUGGUUAAGGUAUUAUGGUAAGACAUAAGCAACCUUUCUCCACUCUGCAAAACUCUGCCCUGUGAAAGUCUUAGGACUCAGGACCUUACUGAAAACACAGUGAAGUCGCAAGAAUAAUUUUAAUGAACUUCAGUAGCUUUUGGAUCAACCUGCAAAGAUGCUGUACACAGUGCACAUCUCUACAGGCAUUAUCAACGUGAAGCAGGUUCCUUGUGCUGCAGCAAUAAACUGGGUGGAAAAAUCUCUCUGGCAGAGGAUUUUUCCAGCUGGCAAGAACUGUAGGGAAAUGCAAUGGAGAAGGUUCUUUAUUAAGAAAAAUGAAGAAUAAUGAGUCUUGUGAAGUAACAACUCCACAGAUCUUUCAGAGGUCAAGCAAAGAAAAACUAUCUCUAGACCUGAAGAAAUCGGCCUUUUCUUACAUAGACCCC